This 406-nucleotide ribosomal RNA is filed under the name uncultured bacterium. RNAcentral's name for it is "partial 16S ribosomal RNA". It matches the Rfam family "Bacterial small subunit ribosomal RNA", at positions 30 to 526 of the family's 1533-position model. The record is from RNAcentral.
AUUGAACGCUGGCGGCAGGCCUAACACAUGCAAGUCGCACGAGUGGCGGACGGGUGCGUAAUGUCUGGGCAACUGCCUGAUGGAGGGGGAUAACUACUGGAAACGGUAGCUAAUACCGCAUACCAUCAGAUGUUCCCAGAUGGGAUUAGCUUGUUGGUGGGGUAACGGCUCACCAAGGAGACGAUCCCUAGCUGGUCGGAGAGGAUGACCAGCAACACUUGAACUGAUACAAGGUCCAGACUCCUACGGGAGGCAGCAGUGGGGAAUAUUGCACAAUGGGCGCAAGCCUGAGGCAGCCAUGCCGCGUGUAUGAAGAAGGCCUUCGGGUUGUAAAGUACUUUCAGCGGGGAGGCGUUACCCGCAGAAGAAGCACCGGCUAACUCCGUGCCAGCCGCCGCGGUAAUAC